This 429-nucleotide ribosomal RNA is filed under the name uncultured archaeon. RNAcentral's name for it is "bacterial SSU rRNA". It matches the Rfam family "Archaeal small subunit ribosomal RNA", at positions 475 to 903 of the family's 1478-position model. The record is from RNAcentral.
ACCAGCACCUCAAGUGGUCAGGAUGAUUAUUGGGCCUAAAGCGUCCGUAGCCGGCGCUAUAAGUUUUCGGUUAAAUCUGUACGCUCAACGUACAGGCUGCCGGGAAUACUGUAGCGCUAGGGAGUGGGAGAGGUAGACGGUACUCGGUAGGAAGGGGUAAAAUCCUUUGAUCUAUUGAUGACCACCUGUGGCGAAGGCGGUCUACCAGAACACGUCCGACGGUGAGGGAUGAAAGCUGGGGGAGCAAACCGGAUUAGAUACCCGGGUAGUCCCAGCUGUAAACUAUGCAAACUCAGUGAUGCAUUGGCUUGUGGCCAAUGCAGUGCUGCAGGGAAGCCGUUAAGUUUGCCGCCUGGGAAUACGUACGCAAGGUAUGGAAACUUAAAGGAAUUGGCGGGGGAGCACCACAAGGGGUGAAGCCUGCGGUUC